Molecule: ribosomal RNA, 253 nt
Filed under: uncultured bacterium
Lineage: Bacteria
Description: partial 16S ribosomal RNA
Rfam family: Bacterial small subunit ribosomal RNA
Source: RNAcentral
GACAGAGGGGGCAAGCGUUGCUCGGAAUCACUGGGCGUAAAGGGCGCGUAGGCGGGAUGGCAAGUCAGUCGUGAAAUCUCUCGGCUCAACCGAGAAACGUCGGCUGAUACUGCCGUUCUUGAGGAAUGCAGAGGAGACUGGAAUUCCCGGUGUAGCGGUGAAAUGUGUAGAGAUCGGGAGGAACACCGGUGGCGAAGGCGGGUCUCUGGGCAUUUCCUGACGCUGAGGCGCGAAAGCGUGGGGAGCAAACGGG